GCCUUUGUGGAUCAAUGGCGAUCACCUCGUUGCCAUACUGGAGAAACGAUGUGAGUUGUACCGAGGAGGAAGGGGUUCAAAUCCCCUCAAAGGCA
Molecule: non-coding RNA, 95 nt
Organism: Mycena alexandri
Lineage: Eukaryota; Fungi; Basidiomycota; Agaricomycetes; Agaricales; Mycenaceae
Source: the annotation of a GenBank genome assembly